This 253-nucleotide ribosomal RNA is filed under the name uncultured bacterium. RNAcentral describes it as "partial 16S ribosomal RNA". It matches the Rfam family "Bacterial small subunit ribosomal RNA", at positions 524 to 776 of the family's 1533-position model. The record is from RNAcentral.
UACGUAGGUGGCAAGCGUUGUCCGGAAUUAUUGGGCGUAAAGCGCGCGCGGGCGGUCCUUUAAGUCUGAUGUGAAAGCCCACGGCUCAACCGUGGAGGGUCAUUGGAAACUGGGGGACUUGAGUACAGAAGAGAAGAGUGGAAUUCCACGUGUAGCGGUGAAAUGCGUAGAGAUGUGGAGGAACACCAGUGGCGAAGGCGACUCUUUGGUCUGUAACUGACGCUGAGGCGCGAAAGCGUGGGGAGCAAACAGG